CCUACGGGUGGCAGCAGUCGGGAAUAUUGCGCAAUGGAGGAAACUCUGACGCAGUGACGCCGCGUGCAGGAAGAAGGUUUUCGGAUUGUAAACUGCUUUAGACCGGGAAGAAAAAAGACAGUACCUGUAGAAUAAGCUCCGGCUAACUACGUGCCAGCAGCCGCGGUAAUACGUAGGGAGCAAGCGUUAUCCGGAUUUAUUGGGUUUAAAGGGUGCGUAGGGGGAAUGCCAAGUCAGCGGUAAAAUCGCGGGGCUCAACCUACCUCCGCCGUUGAAACUGGCGUUCUUGAGUGGGCGAGAAGUAUGCGGAAUGCGUGGUGUAGCGGUGAAAUGCAUAGAUAUCACGCAGAACUCCGAUUGCGAAGGCAGCAUACCGGCGCCCAACUGACGCUGAAGCACGAAAGCGUGGGUAUCGAACAGGAUUAGAUACCCUUGUAGUC
Molecule: ribosomal RNA, 440 nt
Filed under: uncultured bacterium
Lineage: Bacteria
Description: partial 16S ribosomal RNA
Rfam family: Bacterial small subunit ribosomal RNA
Source: RNAcentral